GACGAACGCUGGCGGCGUGCCUAAUACAUGCAAGUUGAGCGCUGAAGGUUGGUACUUGUCCCAACUGGAUGAGCAGCGAACGGGUGAGUAACGCGUGGGGAAUCUGCCUUUGAGCGGGGGACAACAUUUGGAAACGAAUGCUAAUACCGCAUAAAAACUUUAAACACAAGUUUUAAGUUUGAAAGAUGCAAUUGCAUCACUCAAAGAUGAUCCCGCGUUGUAUUAGCUAGUUGGUGGGGUAAAGGCUCACCAAGGCGAUGAUACAUAGCCGACCUGAGAGGGUGAUCGGCCACAUUGGGACUGAGACACGGCCCAAACGCCUACGGGAGGCAGCAGUAGGGAAUCUUCGGCAAUGGACGAAAGUCUGACCGAGCAACGCCGCGGGAGUGAAGAAGGGUUUCGGAUCGUAAAACUCUGUUGGUAGAGAAGAACGAUGGUGAGAGUGGAAAGCUCAUCAAGUGACGGUAACUACCCAGAAAGGGACGGCUAACUACGUG
RNAcentral lists this ribosomal RNA (497 nucleotides) under uncultured bacterium. Its description in RNAcentral is "partial 16S ribosomal RNA". It matches the Rfam family "Bacterial small subunit ribosomal RNA", at positions 28 to 507 of the family's 1533-position model. The record is from RNAcentral.